This 328-nucleotide ribosomal RNA is filed under the name uncultured cyanobacterium. RNAcentral's name for it is "bacterial SSU rRNA". It matches the Rfam family "Bacterial small subunit ribosomal RNA", at positions 377 to 720 of the family's 1533-position model. The record is from RNAcentral. Lineage: Bacteria; Bacillati; Cyanobacteriota.
GAAAGCCUGACGGAGCAAGACCGCGUGGGGGAUGAAGGCUCUUGGGUUGUAAACCCCUUUUCUCAGGGAAGAAGAACUGACGGUACCUGAGGAAUAAGCAUCGGCUAACUCCGUGCCAGCAGCCGCGGUAAGACGGAGGAUGCAAGCGUUAUCCGGAAUUAUUGGGCGUAAAGCGUUCGUAGGUGGCUGUUCAAGUCUGCCGUUAAAGACCGGGGCUUAACUCCGGAAAAACUGUGGAAACUGAACAGCUAGAGUAUGGUAGGGGUAAGGGGAAUUCCUGGUGUAGCGGUGAAAUGCGUAGAUAUCAGGAAGAACACCGGUGGCGAAG